RNAcentral lists this ribosomal RNA (1213 nucleotides) under uncultured organism. RNAcentral's name for it is "bacterial SSU rRNA". It matches the Rfam family "Bacterial small subunit ribosomal RNA", at positions 223 to 1437 of the family's 1533-position model. The record is from RNAcentral.
AGAUGGGCAUGCGUGACAUUAGUUAGUUGGUGAGGUAACGGCUCACCAAUGCAACGAUGUCUAGGGGUUCUGAGAGGAUUGUCCCCCACACUGGUACUGAGACACGGACCAGACUCCUACGGGAGGCAGCAGUGAGGAAUAUUGGUCAAUGGGCGAGAGCCUGAACCAGCCAUGCCGCGUGCAGGAAGACUGUUCUAUGAAUUGUAAACUGCUUUUCUACAGGAAGAAAUCAUGCUACGUGUAGUGUGUUGCCGGUACUGUAGGAAUAAGCACCGGCUAACUCCGUGCCAGCAGCCGCGGUAAUACGGAGGGUGCAAGCGUUAUCCGGAUUUAUUGGGUUUAAAGGGUGCGUAGGCGGAAUAGUAAGUCAGUGGUGAAAUCCUGCGGCUCAACCGUAGAACUGCCAUUGAUACUGUUAUUCUUGAAUGUAGUUGAGGUAGGCGGAAUGUGUAAUGUAGCGGUGAAAUGCUUAGAUAUUACACAGAACACCGAUUGCGAAGGCAGCUUGCUAAGCUACGAUUGACGCUGAUGCACGAAAGCGUGGGGAGCGAACAGGAUUAGAUACCCAGGUAGUCCACGCUGUAAACUAUGAUCACUCGUUGUUUGCGAUAUACAGUAAGCGACUGAGCGAAAGCAUUAAGUGAUCCACCUGGGGAGUACGUUGGCAACAAUGAAACUCAAAGGAAUUGACGGGGGCCCGCACAAGCGGAGGAACAUGUGGUUUAAUUCGAUGAUACGCGAGGAACCUUACCUGGGUUUAAAUGUAGGUUGCAUAGAGGGGAAACUCUCUUUUCCUUCGGGACUACCUACAAGGUGCUGCAUGGUUGUCGUCAGCUCGUGCCGUGAGGUGUCGGGUUAAGUCCCAUAACGAGCGCAACCCUUAUCGUUAGUUGCCAUCAGGUCAUGCUGGGGACUCUAACGAGACUGCCGGUGUAAACCGUGAGGAAGGUGGGGAUGACGUCAAAUCAGCACGGCCCUUAUAUCCAGGGCUACACACGUGUUACAAUGGUCGGUACAAAGAGCAGCCACUUGGCGACAAGGCGCUAAUCUCGAAAGCCGAUCACAGUUCGGAUCGGAGUCUGCAACUCGACUUCGUGAAGUUGGAUUCGCUAGUAAUCGCGCAUCAGCCACGGCGCGGUGAAUACGUUCCCGGGCCUUGUACACACCGCCCGUCAAGCCAUGGAAGCUGGGGGUGCCUGAAGUCCGUAACCGC